RNAcentral lists this unclassified non-coding RNA (1293 nucleotides) under Hevea brasiliensis (rubber tree). The record is from RNAcentral. Lineage: Eukaryota; Viridiplantae; Streptophyta; Magnoliopsida; Malpighiales; Euphorbiaceae.
UGUUACCGUCCAAAAUACAAAGCUCUUCUAAGCUCACGGACGCCCUUUCCUUAAUAAAAGUGCUCCAAAGUAGGGUGACUUUGGACCAAAAUCCACAAUUUUAAUUUAGAUUUAAUUUUAAUUUAAAUCAAUGACAUAAUUUUUUACAGAAAAUAAAUUUUAAUUCAGAAUAAAUAAUCUUUUAUAAAUGAAGAACCACUAAGUCCGUCAGUGCAGCUUUGCUCUUUGAAACAAGCAAUUAACUAACCUAAUUUAAGAUAUUGGGAUUUGGGUGAUUUAGCGUUAAUUGGAAGAGAUAUUAGUAUCCCUACAAUUUUACUCAUAAACAUGAAAAUGAAAUCCACGCAUUGUCUCAAAAUUUUCUUUCAACAAUACCCGAAAUCCAUGUCCAUCCACUUCCUCUUCAAUCCCAUCUUUAUGAACAUUCAACCACCAACUUAAAUAAAAGAGAAAAAAUCUGAAUCGGGGAUGGCUCUUAAUUCCUCUAUUCCCAUUUCUCAAACCUUAAUUAGCUCUCAUCCAUCAGUUCUUUACAGAUCAAGAUUCAAGAAGAAUAAACAUCUCAAUUUUCACAUUGGAUCAUGGAAAUUCAAAAUUGGCUUUGCAUUCCUUAAUUAAGCAACAGCAACAGUGCCCGUCCGUACGGUUUUAUUUGGGGAAGUCUCCUCUGCCUCUGAUUUCCUCAGAGAUCUACUAGAGGAAGACGACAGUUUCCAGUUCUUUUUCUUUCUGCACUCAUCCAUGUCUAUCUGCUCCUGUCUGCACUCUUUGCUACAAAACGGUGUAUUCCCUCUGCAAUUAUAUUACAUAUUUCAAGUCCCAUUAGAAAACGAACAGAACUAUUUGAUUAUUAAUAUUUAUCAAAACAAAGCCAGUCAGUCGUCUUUGAUUCUAAUAGAUUCCCCAAAUUCAAAUCUAUACUAAAUCAGAGUAGAGGAGGGCCGGCUAACCUGUACAUGAAGAUAUCAGUGUUACACCCAAGCGGUUUCCGGCAAAGAAAACAUGCUUCAAGGAAGUGAGGCUCGUGGCCGUAGUAAGACAUGAUCGAUCUUUACGUUAAAGAAUGAAAUAAAAAAACCCAGCGUUUAAAGCUCUGGUAAGCAGACGCUGAAAGAAGGAGAAGGAAGCAAUUCCGGGACGGAAAAACAGAGCCCAGCUCUAAGCUAGGCACUGGAUGACGUAUUUAAAGUGCAGUUCCACAGAAUCAGGUGCUGUAUGGACCACGCUAGUUGGGUACUCUACGUCAGCCACGUCCCUUGGUCUGGUAUGAAAAUGAAUUUGAUUGGUAGAAAA